RNAcentral lists this ribosomal RNA (468 nucleotides) under uncultured bacterium. RNAcentral's name for it is "partial 16S ribosomal RNA". It matches the Rfam family "Bacterial small subunit ribosomal RNA", at positions 28 to 507 of the family's 1533-position model. The record is from RNAcentral.
GACGAACGCUGGCGGCGUGCUUAGCACAUGCAAGUCGAACGGAAAGGCCCUGCUUUUGUGGGGUGCUCGAGUGGCGAACGGGGGAGUAACACGAGAGUAACCUGCCCUUGACUUUGGGAUAACUUCAGGAAACUGGGGCUAAAACAGGAUAGGAGCUCCUGCGGCAUGGUGGGGGUUGGAAAGGUUCGGCGGUUGGGGAUGGACUCGCGGCUUAUCAGCUUGUUGGGGGGGUAGUGGCUUACCAAGGCUUUGACGGGUAGCCGGCCUGGGAGGGUGACCGGCCACACUGGGACUGGGCUACGGCCCAGAGUCCUACGGGAGGCAGCAGUGGGGAAUAUUGCACCCUGGGCCGAAGCCUGAUGCAGCAACGCCGCGUGCGGGAUGACGGCCUUCGGGUUGUAAACCGCUUUCGCCUGUGACGAAGCGUGCGUGACGGUAACGCGUAAAGAAGCACCGGCUAACUACGUG